ACACUGACGACAUGGUUCUACACCUGAGAAACGGCUACCACAUCCAAGGAAGGCAGCAGGCACGCAAAUUACCCACUCCCGGCUUGGGGAGGUAGUGACGAAAAAUAACGAUGUGAGACUCAUCCGAGGCCUCACAAUCGGAAUGAGUACACUUUAAAAUCCUUUAACGAGGAUCUAUUGGAGGGCAAGUCUGGUGCCAGCAGCCGCGGUAAUUCCAGCUCCAAUAGCGUAUAUUAAAGUUGUUGCGGUUAAAAAGCUCGUAGUUGGACUACAGUUCCGGACUGACGGUACACCUCCUGGUGUUACUGUCACGCUCCGAACAGCCUUGUAUUUAACAGUCCA
Molecule: ribosomal RNA, 342 nt
Filed under: Dardanus insignis
Lineage: Eukaryota; Metazoa; Arthropoda; Malacostraca; Decapoda; Diogenidae
Description: bacterial SSU rRNA
Rfam family: Eukaryotic small subunit ribosomal RNA
Source: RNAcentral